RNAcentral lists this ribosomal RNA (440 nucleotides) under uncultured bacterium. RNAcentral's name for it is "partial 16S ribosomal RNA". It matches the Rfam family "Bacterial small subunit ribosomal RNA", at positions 338 to 795 of the family's 1533-position model. The record is from RNAcentral.
CCUACGGGAGGCUGCAGUGGGGGAUAUUGCACAAUGGAGGGAACCCUGAUGCAGCGACGCCGCGUGGGUGAUGGAGCGUUUCGGCGCGUAAAGCCCUAUCGGCAGGGAUGAAGAUGACGGUACCUGCCCAAGAAGCAGCGGCUACCUACGUGCCAGCAGCCGCGGUAAUACGUAGGGGGCAAGCGUUAUCAGGAUUUACUGGGGGUAAAGGGGGCGCAGACGGCAAUGCAAGCCAGUAGUGAAAGCCCGGGGCGCAACCCCGGGACUGCUCUUGGAACUGCAUGGCUGGAGUACAGGAGGGGCAGGCGGAAUUCCUAGUGUAGCGGUGGAAUGCGUAGAUAUUAGGAGGAACACCGGGGGCGAAGGCGGCCUGCUGGACUGUGACUGACGUUGAGGCCCGAAGGCGUGGGGAGCAAACAGGAUUAGAUACCCCGGUAGUC